RNAcentral lists this ribosomal RNA (253 nucleotides) under uncultured bacterium. RNAcentral describes it as "partial 16S ribosomal RNA". It matches the Rfam family "Bacterial small subunit ribosomal RNA", at positions 524 to 776 of the family's 1533-position model. The record is from RNAcentral.
GACGAACCGUGCGAACGUUAUUCGGAAUCACUGGGCUUAAAGCGCGUGUAGGCGGCCAGAUAAGUCCGCUGUGAAAUCUCGAGGCUCAACUUCGAGCUGUCGGUGGAAACUGUCUGGCUAGAGUCCGGAAGAGGAGAAUGGAAUUCCUGGUGUAGCGGUGAAAUGCGCAGAUAUCAGGAAGAACACCCGUGGCGAAGGCGGUUCUCUGGGACGGUACUGACGCUGAGACGCGAAAGCGUGGGGAGCGAACAGG